Molecule: ribosomal RNA, 548 nt
Filed under: uncultured bacterium
Lineage: Bacteria
Description: partial 16S ribosomal RNA
Rfam family: Bacterial small subunit ribosomal RNA
Source: RNAcentral
UGGGGAAUUUUGGACAAUGGGCGAAAGCCUGAUCCAGCAAUGCCGCGUGUGUGAAGAAGGCCUUCGGGUUGUAAAGCACUUUUGUCCGGAAAGAAAUCCUUGGCUCUAAUACAGUCGGGGGAUGACGGUACCGGAAGAAUAAGCACCGGCUAACUACGUGCCAGCAGCCGCGGUAAUACGUAGGGUGCAAGCGUUAAUCGGAAUUACUGGGCGUAAAGCGUGCGCAGGCGGUUUGCUAAGACCGAUGUGAAAUCCCCGGGCUCAACCUGGGAACUGCAUUGGUGACUGGCAGGCUAGAGUAUGGCAGAGGGGGGUAGAAUUCCACGUGUAGCAGUGAAAUGCGUAGAGAUGUGGAGGAAUACCGAUGGCGAAGGCAGCCCCCUGGGCCAAUNCUGACGCUCAUGCACGAAAGCGUGGGGAGCAAACAGGAUUAGAUACCCUGGUAGUCCACGCCCUAAACGAUGUCAACUAGUUGUUGGGGGAUUCAUUUCCUUAGUAACGUAGCUAACGCGUGAAGUUGACCGCCUGGGGAGUACGGUCGCAAGAUU